AGGUAAGUUAAAUUCAAAAUUGGAAAUCAAAGAAAUACACAAUCGAAGUAUGGUUAAUCUCUAACGUAUACUCUAAAUGCACUAAAGUCCCUAUUGUAAAUUAAAUGCUAGGCAUUUUGAUCAAGUAAGCGAACGAUCGAAGGAAAAAGGAUAAUCAUACAAGCGUGCAAGUUCAAAUGAUGUCUAAGCUACGCUUAAUUCUAUUCAUUUUUUAAAUUUAUUAAAAUAUUAGCUAAAGUUUUUCUACUAAUUCAUCUUACCCCUCUACACAACGCUUGGGUUAAACAGUUAAAUCUUCGACAGGAAGCCUCGCUCAUGAAAAGCACUUU
Schizosaccharomyces pombe (fission yeast) is the source of this 329-nucleotide non-coding RNA. The record is from the annotation of a GenBank genome assembly. NCBI's taxonomy places the organism in Eukaryota, Fungi, Ascomycota, Schizosaccharomycetes, Schizosaccharomycetales, Schizosaccharomycetaceae.